RNAcentral lists this ribosomal RNA (253 nucleotides) under uncultured bacterium. RNAcentral's name for it is "partial 16S ribosomal RNA". It matches the Rfam family "Bacterial small subunit ribosomal RNA", at positions 524 to 776 of the family's 1533-position model. The record is from RNAcentral.
UACAGAGGGUGCAAGCGUUGCUCGGAAUUAUUGGGCGUAAAGGGUAGGUAGGCGGUCUUAUUUGUCUGGGGUGAAAGCCCAGGGCUUAACCCUGGAAGUGCCUCGGAAACGGUGAGACUGGAGUCUUGGAGAGGGUCGUGGAAUUCCCGGUGUAGCGGUGAAAUGCGUAGAGAUCGGGAGGAACACCAGAGGCGAAGGCGGCGACCUGGACAAGCACUGACGCUCAACUACGAAAGCGUGGGGAGCAAACAGG